AUUGAACGCUGGCGGAAUGCUUUACACAUGCAAGUCGAACGGCAGCACGGGGCAACCUGGUGGCGAGUGGCGAACGGGUGAGUAAUACAUCGGAACGUGCCCAAUCGUGGGGGAUAACGUAGCGAAAGUUACGCUAAUACCGCAUACGAUCUACGGAUGAAAGCGGGGGAUCGCAAGACCUCGCGCGAAUGGAGCGGCCGAUGUCAGAUUAGGUAGUUGGUGGGGUAAAGGCUCACCAAGCCGACGAUCUGUAGCUGGUCUGAGAGGACGACCGGCCACACUGGGACUGAGACACGGCCCAGACUCCUACGGGAGGCAGCAGUGGGGAAUUUUGGACAAUGGGAGCAAGCCUGAUCCAGCCAUUCCGCGUGCAGGAUGAAGGCCUUCGGGUUGUAAACUGCUUUUGUACGGAACGAAACGGUGAGCUCUAAUACAGUUUGCUAAUGACGGUACCGUAAGAAUAAGCACCGGCUAACUACGUGCCAGCCGCCGCAGUAA
This 498-nucleotide ribosomal RNA is filed under the name uncultured bacterium. RNAcentral's name for it is "partial 16S ribosomal RNA". It matches the Rfam family "Bacterial small subunit ribosomal RNA", at positions 30 to 523 of the family's 1533-position model. The record is from RNAcentral.